Molecule: long non-coding RNA, 460 nt
Filed under: Phascolarctos cinereus (koala)
Lineage: Eukaryota; Metazoa; Chordata; Mammalia; Diprotodontia; Phascolarctidae
Description: lncRNA (ENSPCIG00000011241.2)
Source: RNAcentral
AGUCCAACUCCUUUAUUUUACAGAAAAAUAGGGUAGAGGAAAUCAGGCCACAUGAAGUAGUAUGCUUCAGAGGAAUGACAUGAAACCAGAUACUGGCUGGAUUACGGACCACCUCUGCUAGCCCUGAGCAAGCCUCAAAAAAAAAAUUACCAUAAGGUUGACUUCCUGUUAAUGAAUUUGGGGUGUACAGGGCUAUAGGUCUUCUCUCCAUAAAGAUGAAUCUGUUCACUCAAUUCUCUCAACCUGUACAUAGAACCUGGGUUCAUCAAGUUUUACCAGUUGACUAUCCAGAACAAAAAGAUAGCUUCAACCUACAAUAAUCUGAGCCAGCCAAUUUGUUCCUGAUUAAUGAGUCCCAUUGUCCAUUAAGUACGAAGAGGCUUGUCCUUGCUUCUAUAAUAACAUGCAAAAUGCCAAAGGCUCCCAGAACUGUAAGUUCCCAUGUCAACCCGGUAACAAU